Molecule: ribosomal RNA, 253 nt
Filed under: uncultured bacterium
Lineage: Bacteria
Description: partial 16S ribosomal RNA
Rfam family: Bacterial small subunit ribosomal RNA
Source: RNAcentral
UACGUAGGGAGCAAGCGUUGUUCGGAUUUACUGGGCGUAAAGGGCGCGUAGGCGGCGCGGUAAGUCACUUGUGAAAUCUCUGAGCUUAACUCAGAACGGCCAAGUGAUACUGCAGUGCUAGAGUGCAGAAGGGGCAAUCGGAAUUCUUGGUGUAGCGGUGAAAUGCGUAGAUAUCAGGAGGAACACCGGUGGCGAAGGCGGGUCUCUGGGCAGUAACUGACGCUGAGGAGCGAAAGCGUGGGGAGCGAACAGG